Molecule: non-coding RNA, 853 nt
Filed under: Micrura ignea
Lineage: Eukaryota; Metazoa; Nemertea; Pilidiophora; Heteronemertea; Lineidae
Source: RNAcentral
GUUAGUUUGGUUCUGGUUAAAAUUUUAGCUUGUUCAAGGGUAACACAUGGGAGUUUAAUGCGUGCCGGUGAGGUUGAUACUGUUCUAAAUGAGUUUUGAAGGAGGUUUUAAUGAUAUUAUAAUGCUUCCGUGUAGCACAGCACCAGUGUAAAGUGUUAGGACUCAGGCGCAAGCCUGUACUAGUCAUUGAAGAAAAAGUUGGUUAAUUCUGUGCCAGCUGCUGCGGUUAUACAGAAAACUUGAGUUAAAAGUCUCGGCAAAAAUUUGGUUAACCUGUUUGUAAGCUGUUAGGGGAGUUAAAAGUGGCUUAUGGGUAAAAUCUGUUGGUUCUUUUGGUUUAUUUCCGCUGGGUCUGUGUAGGUGAAGCCAAGAGAAUUUAAGGGUGAGACUGGGAUUAGAUACCCCAUUAUUCUUAGACACUAAUUAUUUGCUGCCUGGGUAUUAAGAGAGGUCUUAAAACUCAAAGGACUUGGCGGUGCUUUAUUCUAAUUAGGGGAACCUGUCCUGUAAUCGAUAAUCCACGCUAAAGUGCUCUUUCGGAUGUUGGUGAAGAUAAGUUUGUAUACUUCCGUUGUCAGCCCAUGUUGUGAGACAUUAGUAUGGGCAAUUUAAUUUAUUGUUUUGACAUCAGGUCAAAGUGCAGCUUAUACGAAAGGAGAGAUGGGUUACAUUGAGAGAGUUUUCGAAUGAAAGGAUGGAAAGUAGCCUUUUUGAAGUUGGACUUAAAAGUAAUGGCUUUUUAGUAAGGGGCUCUGAACGUUGCUCUAAAGCGUGCACAAAUCGCCCGUCGCUCUUGCUAAGGAAGUAAGAUAAGUCGUAACAUAGUAAGAGUAGCUGAAGCUGUUCUUAGUUG